UACGUAGGGUGCGAGCGUUGUCCGGAAUUAUUGGGCGUAAAGAGCUUGUAGGCGGUCUGUCGCGUCUGCUGUGAAAAUCCGGGGCUCAACCUCGGACUUGUAGUGGGUACGGGCAGACUAGAGUGUGGUAGGGGAGACUGGAAUUCCUGGUGUAGCGGUGAAAUGCGCAGAUAUCAGGAGGAACACCGAUGGCGAAGGCAGGUCUCUGGGCCACUACUGACGCUGAGAAGCGAAAGCGUGGGGAGCGAACAGG
This 253-nucleotide ribosomal RNA is filed under the name uncultured bacterium. RNAcentral's name for it is "partial 16S ribosomal RNA". It matches the Rfam family "Bacterial small subunit ribosomal RNA", at positions 524 to 776 of the family's 1533-position model. The record is from RNAcentral.